Molecule: ribosomal RNA, 728 nt
Filed under: uncultured archaeon
Lineage: Archaea
Description: bacterial SSU rRNA
Rfam family: Archaeal small subunit ribosomal RNA
Source: RNAcentral
UUCCGGUUGAUCCCGCCGGAGAUAACUGUUAUCAGGAUUCGAUUUAUCCAUGCGAGGCGAGUAUCGCAAGACACGCCGUACUGCUGAGUAACACGUAGUUAACAUACUCUAAGCUGGGGAAUAAUCUUGGGAAACUGAGGCUAAUGCCCCAUAGGUUUUGGAUACUGGAGUGUUCCAAAAUUAAAGGAUUUAUCGGCUUAGAAUUGGACUGCGGGCCAUCAGGCUGUUGAGAGUGUAACGUACUCUCAAACCUAUAACGGCUAGGGGUUGUGAGAGCAGGAGCCUCCAGACGCUUUCUGAGACAUGAAGGCAGGGCCUACGGGUCGCAGCAGGAGCGAAAACUUUCCAAUGCGCGCAAGCGUGAGAGGGGAAUCUUGAGUGGUUAUGCAAUGCAUAAUCUUUUUUCUAGUCUAAACAACUAGGGGAAUAAGUGGUGGGCAAUACAGGUGCCAGCCGCCGCGGUAAUACCUGAGCCACAAAUGGUUAUCACGAUUAUUGGGUCUAGAGUGUCUGUAGCCGGCCUAAAAAGUUUCCGGUGAAAUAUGGCAGCUAACUGUCAUGCGAGCUGGAAAUACUAUUAGGCUUGGAAUUGGGAUAGGUCAAGGGUAUUUCCAUGUGUAGGGGUUAAAUCCUUUAAUCCAUGGGGGACCACCUGUUGCGAAGGCGCUUGACUGGGAACAAGUUCGACGGUGAGGGACGAAAGCUAGGGGAGCAAACGGGAUUAGAUA